This is a long non-coding RNA of Rhagoletis pomonella (apple maggot), 225 nucleotides long. RefSeq lists it as uncharacterized. NCBI's taxonomy places the organism in Eukaryota, Metazoa, Arthropoda, Insecta, Diptera, Tephritidae. The transcript is spliced from 3 exons. The record is from RefSeq and is a predicted model, not a curated record.
CGAUCUACCACUUUCUUUUAUAAUUAAACUUCUUGCUGCGCGGAGCAACACUAAAGUCUUUGCAGUUAUUGAACUUAAUGUUUUAUUGAUAAUAUGGCUUCUGAAUUAAAAAGGCGUGCGAAAUCCGAAGCCUUAUCCGUACUAGCGUCAAUAAAUGAUUCAUUAAAAAAAUUAUUACAGAUGAGGUAGCAGAACUUUUCUCGUGGAAGGGAACUGGUACCAAAA